RNAcentral lists this transfer RNA (94 nucleotides) under Chloroflexota bacterium. RNAcentral's name for it is "Chloroflexi bacterium (hot springs metagenome) tRNA-Ile". It matches the Rfam family "tRNA". Rfam says of the family: Transfer RNA (tRNA) molecules are approximately 80 nucleotides in length. Their secondary structure includes four short double-helical elements and three loops (D, anti-codon, and T loops). The record is from RNAcentral. RNAcentral also lists the same sequence under 3 other names. Lineage: Bacteria; Bacillati; Chloroflexota.
GCCAGUGUAGCUCAAUGGCAGAGCAGCCGGCUUAUACCCGGUCUAGCGCCGGAUCAGCGCGAGGUUGUAGGUUCGAGUCCUACCACUGGUACCA